RNAcentral lists this ribosomal RNA (253 nucleotides) under uncultured bacterium. Its description in RNAcentral is "partial 16S ribosomal RNA". It matches the Rfam family "Bacterial small subunit ribosomal RNA", at positions 524 to 776 of the family's 1533-position model. The record is from RNAcentral.
UACGUAGGGUGCAAGCGUUGUCCGGAAUUAUUGGGCGUAAAGAGCUCGUAGGCGGCUCGUUGCGUCGGCUGUGAAAACCCGCAGCUCAACUGUGGGCUUGCAGCUGAUACGGGCGGGCUGGAGUUCGGUAGGGGAGACUGGAAUUCCGGGUGUAGUGGUGAAAUGCGUAGAGAUCCGGAGGAACCCCAGAGGCGAAGGCGGCAUCCUGGCCCAUUACCGACACUCAGACACGACAGCAUGGGGAGCGAACGGG